This 318-nucleotide ribosomal RNA is filed under the name uncultured Pseudomonadota bacterium. RNAcentral describes it as "bacterial SSU rRNA". It matches the Rfam family "Bacterial small subunit ribosomal RNA", at positions 30 to 351 of the family's 1533-position model. Lineage: Bacteria; Pseudomonadati; Pseudomonadota. The record is from RNAcentral.
AUUGAACGCUGGCGGCAUGCCUAACACAUGCAAGUCGAACGGAUUCGGGAGCAAUCCCGGGUUAGUGGCGGACGGGUGAGGAAUGCGUCGGAAUCUACCCUAUGGUGGGGGGAUAACACAGGGAAACUUGUGCUAAUACCGCAUGAUGUCGAGAGACCAAAGCAGGGGACCGCAAGGCCUUGCGCGAUAGGAUGAGCCGACGCCCGAUUAGCUAGUUGGUAGGGUAAAGGCCUACCAAGGCGACGAUCGGUAGCUGGUUUGAGAGGAUGACCAGCCACACUGGGACUGAGACACGGCCCAGACUCCUACGGGUGGCAG